This 253-nucleotide ribosomal RNA is filed under the name uncultured bacterium. Its description in RNAcentral is "partial 16S ribosomal RNA". It matches the Rfam family "Bacterial small subunit ribosomal RNA", at positions 524 to 776 of the family's 1533-position model. The record is from RNAcentral.
UACGAAGGGGGCUAGCGUUGUUCGGAUUUACUGGGCGUAAAGCGCACGUAGGCGGAUCGUUAAGUCGGGGGUGAAAUCCUGGAGCUCAACUCCAGAACUGCCUUCGAUACUGGCGAUCUAGAGUCCGGAAGAGGUGAGUGGAACUCCUAGUGUAGAGGUGGAAUUCGUAGAUAUUGGGAAGAACACCGGUGGCGAAGGCGGCGCUCUGGACCGAGACUGACGCUGAGGCACGAAAGCGUGGGUAGCAAACAGG